RNAcentral lists this non-coding RNA (171 nucleotides) under Selaginella moellendorffii. RNAcentral describes it as "rRNA LSU_rRNA_eukarya". It matches the Rfam family "Eukaryotic large subunit ribosomal RNA", at positions 2131 to 2334 of the family's 3401-position model. The record is from Rfam by way of RNAcentral. Lineage: Eukaryota; Viridiplantae; Streptophyta; Lycopodiopsida; Selaginellales; Selaginellaceae.
AAUCAAACUGCCAUAUAUAAAGAACUGAUCAUAAUUGCAUCGGAGGUAGGUGUUGAUGAAGAAUCUCCAGUGUCCACCACAGGUAAACGGCGGGAGUAACUAUGACUCUCUUAAGGUUGCCAAAUGCCUCAUCAUCUAAUUAAUGAUGCGCAUGAAUGGAUUAAUGAGAUU